GGUUAAAAAGCUCGUAGUUGGAUUUCUGUUGAGGAUGGGCGGUCCGCACUACGUGCGUGUAUCUGUUACAGCCUCGGCAUCCUCAUAAAGAACAGUGCUGCUCUUAAUUGCGUGGUCUGGAAUUCAUGACUUUUACUUUGAGGAAAUUAGAGUGUUCACUGCAAGCAAUCGCUUUGAAUACAUUAGCAUGGAAUAAUAAUAUAGGACCUUGGUACUAUUUUGUUGGUUUCUAGAACUAAGGUAAUGAUUAAUAGGGAUAAUUGGGGGCAUUCGUAUUAACGCGUCAGAGGUGGAAUUCUUGGAUUGCGUUACGACGAACUACUGCGAAAGCAUUUGCCAAGGAUGUUUUCAUUGAUCAAGAACGAAAGUAUGGGGAUCGAAGACGCUUAGAUACCGUCGU
This 400-nucleotide ribosomal RNA is filed under the name uncultured marine eukaryote. RNAcentral describes it as "SSU rRNA". It matches the Rfam family "Eukaryotic small subunit ribosomal RNA", at positions 617 to 1021 of the family's 1831-position model. The record is from RNAcentral.